Molecule: ribosomal RNA, 321 nt
Filed under: uncultured Methanomicrobiaceae archaeon
Lineage: Archaea; Methanobacteriati; Methanobacteriota; Methanomicrobia; Methanomicrobiales; Methanomicrobiaceae
Description: bacterial SSU rRNA
Rfam family: Archaeal small subunit ribosomal RNA
Source: RNAcentral
CUACGGGGCGCAGCAGGCGCGAAAACUUUACAAUGCGGGCAACCGUGAUAAGGGAACCUCGAGUGCCUGUAUAUGCAGGCUGUCCAGGUGUCUAAAACACACCUGAGGAAAGGGCCGGGCAAGACCGGUGCCAGCCGCCGCGGUAAUACCGGCGGCUCGAGUGGUGGCCACUUUUAUUGGGCUUAAAGCGUUCGUAGCUGGGUUGUUAAGUCUCUUGGGAAAUCCGGCAGCUUAACUGUCGGGCGUCUAAGGGAUACUGGUAAUCUUGGAACCGGGAGAGGUGAGGGGUACUUCGGGGGUAGGAGUGAAAUCCUGUAAUCC